RNAcentral lists this ribosomal RNA (254 nucleotides) under uncultured bacterium. RNAcentral describes it as "partial 16S ribosomal RNA". It matches the Rfam family "Bacterial small subunit ribosomal RNA", at positions 524 to 776 of the family's 1533-position model. The record is from RNAcentral.
UACGUAGGGGCCUAGCGUUGUCCGGAAUCAUUGGGCGUAAAGAGCUCGUAGGCGGUUCGGCAAGUCACGUGUGAAAUCUCCACGCUUAACGUGGAGGCGCCACGUGAAACUGCCGUGACUCGAGUCCGGUAGGGGAGUGUGGAAUUCCCGGUGUAGUGGUGAAAUGCGUAGAGAUCGGGAGGAACACCUGUGGCGAAGGCGGCCGGCUGGGGGUGCCCUGACGCUGAGGCGCGAAAGCGUGGGGAGCGAACCGG